Molecule: RNA transcript, 5267 nt
Organism: Oncorhynchus gorbuscha (pink salmon)
Lineage: Eukaryota; Metazoa; Chordata; Actinopteri; Salmoniformes; Salmonidae
Gene name: type 2 phosphatidylinositol 4,5-bisphosphate 4-phosphatase-like
Exons: 9
Source: RefSeq, a predicted model, not a curated record
AUCAAGGCUAUCAACAGUAGUUUAUUAGACCUACAAUCGAUCUUUUGGAGGAUGCAAACUGUUUAAAUGAGAAUUAUUAUAAGAUGCAGGCCUACUAAAUGUCAUGUCACCACUGUGCAUGAGGGUAACGGGUUGGUUUGGGGGGAUUUCGCUCUCUCUGCAUUCCGUUGCUCAUAUCCCUCCCACAGCGGGUCCGGUUUAGGUCUCUGUAGCUCCACCUCCGACGAACUGGCCUCGCCAGAACAGUAGGCUACCGCCGAUUAGCUGGCCGCCCCCCUCCCAAGGAAACACUGGCCAGAAGAGAGGCUCUGCCGCCGUUCAGCUCGUUGUUUAUUCGUCUGGGUUGGGUGAACUGUUGCCGCCAUGGCCGACGAAGGCAUGGAUGAACGGUCUCCGCUGCUCUCAGCACCGAACUCCGGGAAUGUCUCACCGUUGGAACCGCCGGCAUACCUGCAGGACACGAGUCCAAGAGCUGAACUCCCUCCCCCCUACACAGCCAUCGCCAGUCCCGACCCUGGGGGGGUACCCGUCAUCAACUGCCGGGUGUGUCAGUCUCUCAUUAACCUGGAUGGCAAGCUGCAGCAGCACGUGGUGAAGUGCACUGUGUGCAACGAGGCCACGCCCAUCAAAAACCCCCCGACUGGGAAGAAGUAUGUACGCUGUCCCUGUAACUGCCUCCUCAUCUGCAAAGACUCAUCUAGGAGGAUAGGAUGCCCCAGACCCAACUGCAGACGCAUCAUCAACCUGAGCCCGGUGAUGGUGAUUCCAGAGGAGCAGCCGGCCCAGCCAGCCCUGCCAGUCCAGCCUGAGGGCACGAGGGUGGUCUGUGGCCACUGUGGAAACACCUUCCUCGGUAACGAGGACUCUGCCACGGCCCCUUCUGAUCUCCAUGACAACAGCACCUCCACAGACCAGUGGAUGGAGCUCCGAUUUAACACGCUAGCAAAAUGCCCUCACUGCAAAAAAAUAUCGUCUGUGGGUAGUGCUCUUCCAAGGAGGCGUUGUUGUGCCUACAUCACUGUGGGAAUGAUCUGCAUCUUUAUCGGAGUGGGAUUAACAGUGGGGACUCAGGACUUUGCCAGUCGUUACCAUGCCACCUAUGUGUCCUGGGCGUUCUCCUACCUCCUCGGUCUGAUCUGUCUGAUACGAGCUUGUUACUGGGGCGCCAUUAAAGUCAGCUAUCCAGAGAACAGCUUUUCCUAGACAGACAGACCAUCGAAGUCAGCUAUCCAGAGAACAGCUUUUCCUAGACAGACAGACAGACCGUUGUACUGUGUUUCUACCUUUUAAUUGUUUAUGUUGUUAUUAUUCAGAUGAAGACGGAGGUCAGUCUGGUCCAGUCCUGAUCCAGGAGAAAACAGAAUCCAGUCCUGGUUUUGUAAUUAACUCUGAAAACUUUUUUUUUUUUUAUGCAGAUCAGGAAUUGAGAUCUUUAUAAUUGUUUAAUUGGUUUGAUUUAUCAUAUAUAGUGAUGUAAUUAACAUUGAAACUGGACUUUGAUAAAUAUGAUUUUAAUCGGAAGCCGGACAGCUGGGCUGUCUCUCUCCUGGACCAGGUAAAGGAUUUGACUGACUGACAGACAUGGCGUUCCCAACCAGACCAAAUUAAAUUAACAACAAUUUUUACAAUUGCACUACAAUUAUAUUCAAUGAUUCUGUUCAGUUGCUGCUAGUUACCCCAGCUCCAAAAGCUGUCCUCCUCACUCUCUCUCCAUACUGUAUGUAACCCUAGUAACGCCCUGCCGGUAUAAUACACAGUACUGGUCCUGAUGUUUAAUGCUUUUACAUCUUCCUCCUUCAAGCCGUGUGUGCUAACGCUGCUGACCAAGUACAUUUCCCAAGUAACUCUGCCUUCACUAUACUGUUAUCAGGUCCUAGUGUUUUACUCUGCCUUCACUAUACUGUUAUCAGGUCCUAGUGUUUUACCUUCACUAUACUGUUAUCAGGUCCUAGUGUUUUACCUUCACUAUACUGUUAUCAGGUCCUAGUGUUUUUACCUUCUCUAUACUGUUAUCAUGUCCUAGUGUUUCACUCUACCUUCACUAUACUGUUAUCAGGUCCUAGUGUUUCACUCUACCUUCACUAUACUGUUAUCAUGUCCUAGUGUUUCAGUCUACCUUCACUAUACUGUUAUCAUGUCCUAGUGUUUCACUCUACCUUCACUAUACUGUUAUCAUGUCCUAGUGUUUCACUCUGCUUUACCUUCACUAUACUGUUAUCAGGUCCUAGUGUUUCAGUCUACCUUCACUAUACUGUUAUCAGGUCCUAGUGUUUCAGUCUACCUUCACUAUACUGUUAUCAGGUCCUAGUGUUUCAGUCUGCCUUCACUAUACUGUUAUCAUGUCCUAGUGUUUCAGUCUGCCUUCACUAUACUGUUAUCAUGUCCUAGUGUUUCAGUCUGCCUUCACUAUACUGUUAUCAUGUCCUAGUGUUUCAGUCUACCUUCACUAUACUGUUAUCAUGUCCUAGUGUUUCAGUCUACCUUCACUAUACUGUUAUCAGGUCCUAGUGUUUCACUCUACCUUCACUAUACUGUUAUCAGGUCCUAGUGUUUCAGUCUACCUUCACUAUACUGUUAUCAGGUCCUAGUGUUUCACUCUACCUUCAUUAUACUGUUAUCAUGUCCUAGUGUUUCAGUCUACCUUCUCUAUACUGUUAUCAGGUCCUAGUGUUUCACUCUACCUUCACUAUACUGUUAUCAGGUCCUAGUGUUUCAGUCUACCUUCACUAUACUGUUAUCAGGUCCUAGUGUUUCAGUCUACCUUCACUAUACUGUUAUCAGGUCCUAGUGUUUCACUCUACCUUCACUAUACUGUUACUGUCCUAGUGUUUCACUCUGCUUUACCUUCACUAUACUGUUAUCAUGUCCUAGUGUUUCACUCUACCUUCACUAUACUGUUAUCAGGUCCUAGUGUUUCACUCUACCUUCACUAUACUGUUAUCAUGUCCUAGUGUUUCACUCUACCUUCUCUAUACUGUUAUCAUGUCCUAGUGUUUCACUCUACCUUCACUAUACUGUUAUCAGGUCCUAGUGUUUAAGUCUACCUUCACUAUACUGUUAUCAUGUCCUAGUGUUUCACUCUGCUUUACCUUCACUAUACUGUUAUCAUGUCCUAGUGUUUCACUCUACCUUCACUAUACUGUUAUCAUGUCCUAGUGUUUCAGUCUACCUUCACUAUACUGUUAUCAUGUCCUAGUGUUUCAGUCUACCUUCACUAUACUGUUAUCAUGUCCUAGUGUUUCAGUCUGCCUUCACUAUACUGUUAUCAUGUCCUAGUGUUUCACUCUACCUUCACUAUACUGUUAUCAUGUCCUAGUGUUUCAGUCUACCUUCACUAUACUGUUAUCAUGUCCUAGUGUUUCAGUCUACCUUCACUAUACUGUUAUCAUGUCCUAGUGUUUCACUCUACCUUCACUAUACUGUUAUCAGGUCCUAGUGUUUCACUCUACCUUCACUAUACUGUUAUCAUGUCCUAGUGUUUCAGUCUACCUUCACUAUACUGUUAUCAUGUCCUAGUGUUUCAGUCUACCUUCACUAUACUGUUAUCAUGUCCUAGUGUUUCACUCUAACUUCACUAUACUGUUAUCAUGUCCUAGUGUUUCAGUCUACCUUCACUAUACUGUUAUCAUGUCCUAGUGUUUCACUCUACCUUCACUAUACUGUUAUCAGGUCCUAGUGUUUCAGUCUACCUUCACUAUACUGUUAUCAUGUCCUAGUGUUUCAGUCUACCUUCACUAUACUGUUAUCAUGUCCUAGUGUUUCACUCUACCUUCACUAUACUGUUAUCAGGUCCUAGUGUUUCAGUCUACCUUCACUAUACUGUUACUGUCCUAGUGUUUCACUCUACCUUCACUAUACUGUUAUCAUGUCCUAGUGUUCCACUCUACCUUCACUAUACUGUUAUCAUGUCCUAGUGUUUCAGUCUACCUUCACUAUACUGUUAUCAUGUCCUAGUGUUUCACUCUACCUUCACUAUACUGUUAUCAUGUCCUAGUGUUUCACUCUACCUUCACUAUACUGUUAUCAUGUCCUAGUGUUUCACUCUGCUUUACCUUCACUAUACUGUUAUCAUGUCCUAGUGUUUCAGUCUACCUUCACUAUACUGUUAUCAGGUCCUAGUGUUUCACUCUACCUUCUCUAUACUGUUAUCAUGUCCUAGUGUUUCAGUCUACCUUCACUAUACUGUUAUCAGGUCCUAGUGUUUCAGUCUACCUUCACUAUACUGUUAUCAGGUCCUAGUGUUUCACUCUACCUUCACUAUACUGUUAUCAUGUCCUAGUGUUUCACUCUACCUUCACUAUACUGUUAUCAUGUCCUAGUGUUUCACUCUACCUUCACUAUACUGUUAUCAUGUCCUAGUGUUUCACUCUGCUUUACCUUCACUAUACUGUUAUCAUGUCCUAGUGUUUCACUCUACCUUCACUAUACUGUUAUCAUGUCCUAGUGUUUCACUCUACCUUCACUAUACUGUUAUCAUGUCCUAGUGUUUCACUCUACCUUCACUAUACUGUUAUCAUGUCCUAGUGUUCCACUCUACCUUCACUAUACUGUUAUCAUGUCCUAGUGUUUCAGUCUGCCUUCACUAUACUGUUAUCAUGUCCUAGUGUUUCACUCUACCUUCACUAUACUGUUAUCAGGUCCUAGUGUUUCACUCUACCUUCACUAUACUGUUAUCAUGUCCUAGUGUUUCACUCUACCUUCACUAUACUGUUAUCAUGUCCUAGUGUUUCAGUCUGCCUUCACUAUACUGUUACUGUCCUAGUGUUUCACAGCAUACCUCACUACUUCUUCACCAUCGUCAAUAGCCUUCUCAUCAUUGGCUGUUCUCAUCGUGAGAUGUUGUUUUAAACACACUAUACAUGUUCUAGUUUUACAUUAGGUGUCUGAUUCAGAAAGGAAAGGUACUGUUGAAAGAUUCUGGGCCCAAAAACACCCUAAGGAUUUAGUUCAUGGUUAGAACCAUAGGAUGCUUUUGGUAAACCUGGCCCCUUAUCGUUCUCCUUACCUGUCCAGCUCUCUGCUCCUAGAAUGUCGCUGACUUCCUGCUUAUUGCCUGAUUGUUUCCUGAAGCCAGUGAAACCUAGCUAGUGUUGCGGUAUAUAUGCAAUCCUGUCUAGACAAAAUAAUAAAAAUCUCUUUAACUAAUCUUGUUCUGAAUGUGAUGAUGAAACAGAAGUCUCUUCUUGUACAUAGUUAAUUCAGCGCAUUGAAACUGAGGCUUGGAAUAAUAAAACAUUUAAAAAACAUAAUUUAUCAAUAAAAUUAAC